CGUAUUAUAUUUGAUUUGCGUAGAACUUCUAUUCCUGUGUGCAUUAAUGUGACAGUGAGCUGCUGUAACAAAAGAGUUUCCCCUCGGGGAUCAAUAAAGUAUUUCUGAUUCUGAUAUGGAGUCUGAGAUAUGUCACUGAAAGGCUCAUGUAUUUCUGACUCUGAUAAUGAGUCAAAACUAAAUGUGUUAUUUUCUUAGUUAUAGAAUAUUUAAUCUUUUUAGGGCAGCAUCUUUUAAUAAUCAGUUAACCUGAAGAUUAAUCUAAAUUAUUAAUUGAUUAAUUAUUUGGUCUACAAAAUGUCAGAAUGUCCAUAACAAUUUCCUAAUGUCCAAGAUAAACAACAGUUGAAAACCCAAAGAUAUUUAGUAACCUAUCAUAUAAGACAAAGAAAUGCAGCAAAUUCUCACAAUUGAGAUACUGGAAAAAGUGAAUGGCAUUUUUGCUUGAAAAAUUAGUAAACCAGUAAUCGAUCAAAAUAGUUAAUAGUUUUCUGUCUAUUCAUUAAUUGACUAAUCGUUUGAGCUCUAAAUCAUUUACCUUUUAUUUUUGGUUGUAUUUAUUGUUUCACCUUACUUACACUUUCCUCAGAACAUUUCUUGUUUCCCUUGUUUCUCGUUUGAUGCUUUGGUGUGGGAAAGAAUUGAACUAAAUGACAUAGAUAUUGUCACAGGCUGAAGAUGCAAACAGCUUUAGGCUCCCAGUGUUCUUGGGAGAGCUGACAUUUGUCAGUGUAGCAAGCUAAAAACACUUAGUUUCUUGUGCGUGUUAUCACACAAGAUCUGUUAUGUUUCUCAGGGCUGACACCUUCUGGUCUGUUGGUCGAUUGGUUAGUCGAUAUGCUCUUGUCUGACCAAAUUCUCAUUUGUUGGACAACAUUCGGUGGUGUUACUUUCAUAAGGAGAAGGGCGCUUCUUAAUACAUUAUUUUCUCAGGCGGGAGAGAUAUGCAGACCUGAUGUAUUGUAUUUUUGAGUGAUAUAUUAUGUUAAAAAUAACAUUGAUUAUGUAUAAAAAUAAUACUCAGAUAUAUUUUACUCAACAAAUGUGUUUCUGUUUUAAUAAUUGUAUGCUUUUAAUAGACUGUAAGACUUUUAAGACAGGAAGUCAAAACACCCCUGUUUUCACAACUUUGAACUCACUCAACCUAAUGGAGACUGCGAAGGGUCCGGCUGGGUCCGGCUGCAGGGGGCUCUGCGUGAGCAUCCAGUUAAACCCCUAAACCCACGAUGGGCUAAUGGAGGACCGUGACGUCGCUAUUAGAUCUAGGUCAAAUUUCAUUAAAAGAAGAUGGCGGCAUUUGAGUAAUGGUGAAGCAGCAGGUAGGUAAUCACAGCUCAGUGAAGCUGAAGUAGAACGUAUGAUGUUAUUGCACAAAUAAGUAUAAAAACAUUUGAAAAAGAAACGUUAUUUAUUGCAGCUGGUUAAUGUUAGCUAGGUUAGAUGCAGAAUCAAUGUUAGUCUUGGAAUGACAAUAAGCUAAUGUUAGCUUAGCCUGCCAGCAUGGUGUGUGUGUGAGAGUACUACUUAUGAUGAUAUUUUACAAAUAGUAAACGUUAUUUAGCGCAGGGUUUUUUGUUUAGGAUUAAUGUUAGCCAUAUCAACUAACGUUACCGAAGCUAGGCUAAUGCUAUCGUAGUUAACACGAGCUGCCAGCAUAUGCGUGUGUGAUAGUGUGUGAGAGACAAUAGCUGUGUCUCGAUCCAGGGGCUGCAUCCUUCGAAGGCUGCAUUUAAAAACCGAAUGUGUCACAGCGGGCGCGACUAGGCUGUCCCAUUUCAAAGGCUCCUUCAAUGGCCGACAAAUGCAAGUUUGUAUCUCUGCAGACUUUGAGAGGGCGUGGUAACUGUCAAUGUUUUUUAAUUUGGCCAAUCAGAUUCUGACAAUCCACUGUCAUUCAAAAACCAAUUUCACCAAUAUGCUGCCUGAAACAAUUGUCAAUCACUUUUUAAUGAAGCGAAUCACUUCACAGUAUUAUAAAGGUGGAGGUACACAAACAACUCAUGCUCCAUCCAUCAGUUUUUUUGUACGGACAGUUCCCCCGCACAUUCAAAGUCUCCAGUCUGCAGAGAUACCCUACUCAACAAAUGCAGCCUUCUUUUCCCUAAUUUGGAUGGUGCAACGGGUGGAUCCUUUGCAGCCCAACCUAUCCCAAGACGCAUUGCGCUCCGGUGUUGAAAAUGGCGUCCCCAAACGUAAGGUUGACAGCGGCUAAGGAUGAUUACACUUUUAAAUGACACUUCUGGAGAAAAUGGGCCUGCUGGAGAAGGUGACUCCCUUGCAAGCCCCCCCAAAAAUGGGACAGUUAAAAAAACAAAUACAAAGAUUGCAAGUGUCCAGGGAGAGGGCAUGAGUGGGAAACCCACUGCUGCACCUUGGCUGUUGUUUGUUCUCAUGGAUAAGGUGUUUGGCCAGAGGCACCCCCCCAAUUGCCUCCAUCUCUGAGGACACACCAGGGCCAAGUACCAAGUACAGAAGUGGGUGACCAGGAGGAGGAGAAUGGACAAUAAAGACUCUGUUGUCUCUGUCAGUGAGACAUCAUCUGGGGUGGUCUCCAGAGUGUGUUUGGGGUGUCUUGUGGCAAAUGGACCACCUCCUCAGUGACUCUGUGGACGAUGCGGUAGACAGUGGAACAAGGCAUCCCAAACACUCUGGAGACCACCCUGUAUGAUGCCCCACUUACCAGCCAGAAGAGAAACACCAGGAUCUCAACUGUGGGACCCCACAGGAACUGUGUCUCUGUUCCUGGUUGAGAAGGUCCGGCAGCACUGCCAGGGCCUCCCUGCUCAGCCAAAAAUCAGGCCUUGUGUCUUGCUGGUUAAAAACCUGUCCAGCACAGGAACACUCGGGUUUAUCCUGCAGUACAGGGGUCUGGGCUGGUUUAGGGAAAGAAGAAAAAGAAAAACUUAAAAUUAAUAAUAGCUAGAUAUUAAGUGUGGAGAGCUUAGAUAGAUAAGGAUUAAAGGUAGAUAAAGCUUAUCUGUCUACUCAACCCGUUUCAGGUGAUUCAUGACAAAAUAUUAAAUAUCCAACAAAUAUUUAAUAUUAAAGGAAGGUUAGGGUUAUUUUAAAUAUGAUAUGCUAAUGUUAACAUUACUGUUGUAUAAAAGUACACAGCUUAACCAAUGUUAAUGUUGGAGGAAGUACUCAGAUCUUUUACUUGAGUAAAAGCAGCAAUAACUGUAAAAAUAUUGCAUUCAAAAUCUUACUUAAGUAAAAAUACAAUGUAUUAGCAUCAAAAUAUACUUAAAGUACCAAAAGUUAAAGUAGCCUACAGAAUGGCCCGUUUCAGAAUAACAGGCCUAUAUGUUAUAUUAUUGGAUUAUAAUUAUUGAUGCAUUAAUGUGUUCAUCACUUUAAUUUUGCAGCUGGUGAAGGUAGAGCUCAUUUUAAUUACUUUAUAUACUGCUGGGUAGCUUAAUCUAUAAUAAUAUAUUAUAAUUUAUUAGUUGAUUUAUAUUUUGUAUUCAUCUGAAUCUGCAAAGUAACUAGUAACUAAAGUUAUCCAGUGGAAUGAAAAGCAGCGGUGAAGCAGCUCCAUUUCCUCUAAUAAAUGGUAAAACAACAACAACAAAAAAGAGGUUAUAAUUAACAUUACUGGCUCCAUUUCUGCUGUGUGCCGAUUGUCAAUGGCAGUUGUCAAGGUCGCUAGGUGACAGGAGCAACUCUUUUUUCAAUUUUCUGUUGUUUUACAUCAUAACUUUAGAAACAGUACUGGCUAAUAAUGUAGUGCUUGUACAACAUUACAUCUCUGUUUCGCACCAUUUGGCUGAAUAGUUGUUCUAAAUCAGAUAAAUGUUCUUACAAUUGUCCACAGUGACUACAUAUUGUUGUCACUUCUGUGCAUGUGUUCAUACUGAUGUUAUCUUUGAUGUCUUUACAUCACUAUGACUAUGACAACAUACAAUAUUUUGACAGCCUGGGCCUGUUAAAUGUUAAUACUGCUAGCCUUAAAUUUGAAGCUUCCUGUUACUGGUGUCGAACAUACAUACCAGUUUGUACUAAUGAAGAUAGGAGUUUUAAAGUUAAAAAAUGUUUCCAGACCUUUUGUGAAAGCAUGACAUUUAUGUAGUAUUAAUGGCAGAAAUUUUUAAAAUAUUUUUCAAUAUUUACAUGUUUUCAUGUAUAUUUGAAUUGCUUACGUCAUACUUUCCCUUGCAAUUUAUAGCUUGUGGAAACAAGAAAAAAUUGAGCAACUCAGAGUUUAAUUUUAAUUUCAGUCUUUAUGCUAAUGCUAUGCCUCCUCCUCAAACAAUAUCAUUGUCUGUGAUAAAUAAAGUAAAAUUGUUGAUAUUUGCCAUGAUUAAGUCGCAUAAGAUCCAUCCAUGCAUUAUCUAGCUGCUUGCCCAGAUCAGAUUCAUGGUGGGAAAAGGGCAAGCAGAGCAGUCCAGAUAACUUUUCCAACUUGCUCAAGUUCCUCAUAGGAGAUCCCCAGGUGCUCCCAGACCAGUUGGGAGAGUUGGCCAGCAUGUGUGUGUGUGUAUAAUGUAUGUUCCCCACCAAUCAAGUAUUUCAUUAAACUGAAAAUAUUAAAUGAA
This is a long non-coding RNA of Siniperca chuatsi (mandarin fish), 4535 nucleotides long. RefSeq lists it as uncharacterized. NCBI's taxonomy places the organism in Eukaryota, Metazoa, Chordata, Actinopteri, Centrarchiformes, Sinipercidae. The transcript is spliced from 3 exons. The record is from RefSeq and is a predicted model, not a curated record.